This 1005-nucleotide long non-coding RNA is filed under the name Phasianus colchicus (ring-necked pheasant). Its description in RNAcentral is "lncRNA (ENSPCLG00000007540.1)". The record is from RNAcentral. Lineage: Eukaryota; Metazoa; Chordata; Aves; Galliformes; Phasianidae.
UCUUAAUGUUACAAUGUGUAAAAAUACUGGCCUACAUAUUGAAUAUAUAUGACAUAACAGAUUCAACAUCUAGCACGGUCACAAGUCCACAUGACUGAAUGGGAUGCACCCAAGGGUUCAGAAUGAGCUGGCAGAAGUGAUUGCCAAGCUUUUUUACAUCAUCUAUCAGUGAUCCUAGUAAACCAGGGAGAUCACCAUGAGUGGAGAGCUGCCAAUGUAAUGUCCAUUCUACAAAUACUAGACCCAGCUAGUAAGUUAAUGCUGCUUUGACACAUGGAAAACUGGCAUUGCCAGAGCUGGCUGGAGUUUGUUUAUACCAUGUUUCACCAAGCAGUGUAAAUACAUCUGUUUUUAGUGGACAGAAGCGUGAAACACUUUCAGGUAUGCUCAGUGCUACUGUGAGAAGUCAAUGGCAGUACACAAUGUAGAUUUCGUUGGGCAUACACAUGACAGCCCUGUGGUCUCUGCACUACUUAGUGACACGUCUGUUAAUGCGCACCAGAAUUGACAUUACAGGGGUUGUAACUCUCUGUGUAAAUCAUCAGAGGAUUAUUUCCCCUUCUGAGUAAUAAGAUAGCAGGAAGGGAAUUCAUUUUUCCCCAAAUUAUUAUUUCUUGACACUUUUUCCCAGGUCCUCAUUUUUUAAGGAAAUACAGCCCAGAUUGACUCUUUGCAAUUUGCUAUUUUAGAUGGCCUCUGGAUAACUAGUUAAAUAAGAACGUAUUUACUGCAGUUCUCAUGGCUGUGUGUCCAAAUGUGUCUAAUGAAGCUGAAUCAGUGUCCUGGCAUAGGUGUUGGAAGACAGAAAGAGUUCACUCAGCAGCAGAGAUAUAUGUAAGGCACGAAGACAAGAAAGGAAAGUUUGGAAAAAGAAAGGAAAACAAAACAUUACAUGGAUUUCAUUCUUAUCAGCAUUUAAUUUUAUGAAAAAAAAAAAAAAAAAAAAAAAGACUUUGUAUUCAUGCUCUCUUUUCAAUUUUGAACUCUUAUGAUCUUCCAUUAAAU